This 811-nucleotide ribosomal RNA is filed under the name uncultured archaeon. RNAcentral's name for it is "bacterial SSU rRNA". It matches the Rfam family "Archaeal small subunit ribosomal RNA", at positions 85 to 879 of the family's 1478-position model. The record is from RNAcentral.
ACGGCUCAGUAACACGUGGCUAACCUGCCCUUGGGACGAGAACACCCCCGGGAAACUGGGGCUAAUUCUCGAUAGGCGAAGAACUCUGGAAUGAGUCUUCACCCAAAAGACGCUUAGAUCAUGCUUCUAGACGUCGCCCAAGGAUGGGGCCGCGGCCGAUCAGGUUGUUGGUGAGGUAAUGGCUCACCAAGCCUUUAACCGGUGCGGGCCGUGGGAGCGGGAGCCCGGAGAUGGGCACUGAGACAAGGGCCCAGGCCCUACGGGGCGCAGCAGUCGCGAAAACUUUGCAAUAAGCGAAAGCUUGACAGGGCUAUCCCGAGUGCCAUCCGCUGAGGAAGGCUUUUACCCAGUCUAGUAAGCUGGGGGAAUAAGGAGAGGGCAAGUCUGGUGUCAGCCGCCGCGGUAAUACCAGCUCUCCGAGUGGUGUGGAUGUUUAUUGGGCCUAAAGCAUCCGUAGCUGGCUGAGUUAGUCCCCUGUUAAAUCCACCGAAUCAAUCGUUGGAUUGCGGGGGAUACUGCUCGGCUAGGGGACGGGAGAGGCAGACGGUAUUUCCGGGGUAGGGGUGAAAUCCUAUAAUCCCGGGAAGACCACCAGUGGCGAAGGCUGUCUGCUAGAACGCGCCCGACGGUGAGGGAUGAAAGCUGGGGUAGCGAACCGGAUUAGAUACCCGGGUAGUCCCAGCUGUAAACGAUGCAGGCUAGGUGUUUGGGCGGCCACGUGCCGCUCUAGUGCCGCAGGGAAGCUGUUAAGCCUGCCGCCUGGGGAGUACGAUCGCAAGAUUGAAACUUAAAGGAAUUGGCGGGGGAGCAC